GAGAGAUGGCUCAGUGGUUAGAGCACUGGCUGCUCUUCCAGAGGACCUGGGUUCAAUUCUCAGCACUCA
Molecule: transfer RNA, 69 nt
Filed under: Neotoma lepida (desert woodrat)
Lineage: Eukaryota; Metazoa; Chordata; Mammalia; Rodentia; Cricetidae
Rfam family: tRNA
About the family: Transfer RNA (tRNA) molecules are approximately 80 nucleotides in length. Their secondary structure includes four short double-helical elements and three loops (D, anti-codon, and T loops).
Source: Rfam by way of RNAcentral